ACGAUGUAUACGGACUGACGCCUGCCCGGUGCUGGAAGGUUAAGGGGACUGGUUAGCCGCAAGGCGAAGCUGAGAACUUAAGCCCCAGUAAACGGCGGUGGUAACUAUAACCAUCCUAAGGUAGCGAAAUUCCUUGUCGGGUAAGUUCCGACCUGCACGAAUGGCGUAACGACUUGAGCGCUGUCUCCACCAUGAACUCGGCGAAAUUGCAGUACGAGUAAAGAUGCUCGUUACGCGCGGAAAGACGGAAAGACCCCGGGACCUUUACUAUAUCUUGAUAUUGGUACUCGGAACGUUCUGUGUAGCAUAGGUGGGAGACUUUGAAGCGGCACGCCAGUGUUCGUGGAGUCAAAAAAUGAAAUACCACUCUGAACGUUUUGAGUUUCUAACCUCGGCCCAUUAUCUGGGUCAGGGACAGUGUCUGGUGGGUAGUUUAACUGGGGCGGUUGCCUCCCAAAAAGUAACGGAGGCGCUCAAAGGUUCCCUCAGCCUGGUUGGUAAUCAGGUGUCGAGUGUAAGUGCACAAGGGAGCUUAACUGUGAGACAGACAUGUCAAGCAGGUGCGAAAGCAGGAACUAGUGAUCCGGCGGUGGCUUGUGGAAGCGCCGUCGCUCAACGGAUAAAAGGUACCCCGGGGAUAACAGGCUGAUCUUGCCCAAGAGUCCAUAUCGACGGCAAGGUUUGGCACCUCGAUGUCGGCUCGUCUCAUCCUGGGGCUGGAGUAGGUCCCAAGGGUUGGGCUGUUCGCCCAUUAAAGAGGCACGCGAGCUGGGUUCAGAACGUCGUGAGACAGUUCGGUCCCUAUCUUCCGUGCGCGAAGGAAACUUGAGAAGGGCUGUCCCUAGUACGAGAGGACCGGGACGGACGAACCUCUUGUGUGUCGGUUGUUUCGCCAGAAGCACGGCCGAUUAGCAACGUUCGGAAGGGAUAACCGCUGAAAGCAUCUAAGCGGGAAGCUCGCUUC
This 964-nucleotide ribosomal RNA is filed under the name freshwater metagenome. RNAcentral's name for it is "bacterial LSU rRNA". It matches the Rfam family "Bacterial large subunit ribosomal RNA", at positions 1838 to 2800 of the family's 2925-position model. The record is from RNAcentral.